UGGUUUUGAAUUCCUGAGCUCAAGUGAUUCUUCUGCCUCAGCCUCCCAAAGUCCUGGGAUUUCUGGUGUGAGUCACCAUGCCUGGCCUAUAGCUAUUUAAAGUUGCCGUACUGGCCAAGUACUGUGGAUGAGGUGGUGAGGCGGGUAGACCAUCUGAGGUCAGGAGUUCGAGACCAGCCUGACCAACAUGGCAAAACUGUGUCUCUACUAAAAAUACACACACACACACAAAUUAGCUGGGCGUGAUGGUGCGUGCCUGUAAUCCCAGCUACUCGGGAGGCUGAGGCAUGUGAAUGUGAACCUGGGAGGCAGAGGUUGCAGUGAGCUGAGAUGGUGCCACUGUACUCCAGCCUGGGAGACAGAGUGAGACUCU
RNAcentral lists this long non-coding RNA (373 nucleotides) under Homo sapiens (human). Its description in RNAcentral is "non-protein coding lnc-C2orf42-5:1". The record is from RNAcentral. Lineage: Eukaryota; Metazoa; Chordata; Mammalia; Primates; Hominidae.